Non-coding RNA from Poecilia latipinna (sailfin molly), 432 nucleotides. The record is from the annotation of a RefSeq genome assembly. NCBI's taxonomy places the organism in Eukaryota, Metazoa, Chordata, Actinopteri, Cyprinodontiformes, Poeciliidae.
AACGUUUAACACACACGAUGGAUUGUACAAGAAAGAUACUUGCAGUAAUUAUUUGCCUUGCUGUUGUUGAUGGUCAGACUCUGACUGAAUCUGAACCAGUAGUAAAAAACCCUGGAAACUCCCACAAACUGACCUGCACAGGAUCUGGAUUCACAUUCAGCAGCUACUGGAUGGCCUGGAUCAGACAGGCUCCUGGAAAAGGACCUGAGUGGGUUGCAACUAUUGAAUAUGACAGUGAUAGUAAAUUUUACUCUCAAUCAGUUCAAAGUCGGUUCACCAUCUCCAGAGACAACAACAAACAGCAGGUGUAUCUGCAGAUGAACAACCUGAAGAUCGAGGAUUCUGCUGUUUAUUACUGCACUCGAUAGACACAGUGACUGAAGUCGGUUUAGCAGCUGUGCAAUAACCUCCAUGCCUUUAAAGUUAUCUGAA